Molecule: long non-coding RNA, 412 nt
Filed under: Hordeum vulgare
Lineage: Eukaryota; Viridiplantae; Streptophyta; Magnoliopsida; Poales; Poaceae
Description: long non-coding RNA (HVUL_LNC007197)
Source: RNAcentral
UGCUGGUGUAUGGGUUGGUUGAUUUGUAAUGCAAAGGCGGGGGAAACCCUUUUUCAUGAGUCAUUUCAGCUCUAGGGGAAUUAUUCCCUCGCGCUGCAACAAACUGGAGCCAUUAAUACACAGUUGCAGAAACAUGAAAGUGAGAUGAAGCAAUGAUUCCACCAACAAAUCGAACGAAAUCACGACCUAUUAGUGACGAAUCAAAACUAGGAAGACCUCUAUCGUUGGCACAAACUGAUGAUGGAUCAAGCGAUUAGUUGUCGUUUACCCCCAAACAAGCUACGCCGCUCUCUAAGAUCCAAAAUCGACAAGCAGUCAAGCAUAACCGGCAGGCCCGUAGACUCCAAACGGAUCUCAAAAAAUCACCACAGAUGGGAAUUCAAAAGGAAGGCGUGCAGACCAGGAAUCGAGA